RNAcentral lists this ribosomal RNA (253 nucleotides) under uncultured bacterium. RNAcentral's name for it is "partial 16S ribosomal RNA". It matches the Rfam family "Bacterial small subunit ribosomal RNA", at positions 524 to 776 of the family's 1533-position model. The record is from RNAcentral.
UACGUAGGGGGCUAGCGUUGUCCGGAAUCAUCGGGCGUAAAGCGCGUGUAGGCGGUCCGGUAAGUCCGCUGUGAAAGUCGGGGGCUCAACCCUCGGAUGCCGGUGGAUACUGUCGGGCUUGAGUACGGAAGAGGCGAGUGGAAUUCCUGGUGUAGCGGUGAAAUGCGCAGAUAUCAGGAGGAACACCGAUGGCGAAGGCAGCUCGCUGGGACGGUACUGACGCUGAGGCGCGAAAGCGUGGGGAGCAAACAGG